AACCAAGGUGUUCCUUGCCACAUUACCAGAAAAAUAUUUAUAUUUUAACAUAGCAUCACUACUACUUGUUAGGACGUUUCAUCAGAUGAGUGACUUAAACCUUGUGUUAGCAGUAUCGACACCCAGGAAACCAACUGUGUAUGAAAAGAAAGAAGUGAAAAUGCAAGGGCGUCCUGUGGUCCUUCAGUCUUUCAGCUACUUUCCAUGUAUACAAGUCAACUGGCACUUACCAGAAAAACCUGCAAACUGGACACCAUAGAUGGAACACCUGUCUGUGCCCUGUCAGAUUUAGUCUCAUGCUGUGAGUGAGCAUUUUCAACAAAGACAUUCGGAAGAGGAACGUGAAGGAAGAGCUACAAUCAGUGGCAUUGCUGAAGGAACGACUGUAUAGGAUGUGGCAGGUAAAAAGACAAUCUUAAAAAGUCUUUGUUAAAUCCUUUUUUGUGAAAUUGUGUAUGGAUUUUUUCAUGUAGUUAUCCUGUUUUGUUAUGGAGCUAAAAGAAGCCCCUUUGCUAAUUGUCUAUUUUGCUACAACUGUUUUUGUAUAUUCUUCUCCCUGAUUUUCAUUUUCUUGCAGAAAAAUGAACAGUAUUAGGAAGUAAAUUAACAUUGGAUAAACAUGCUCUUUAUUUUGUAUUUUAGCGGGAUCUUUUUAGUUUAAUCUUGCCUAGAAAGAUAGCUCUUUUAAACUGAAUGAAUUGCACUAUGUAUAGAUACUACUUUCAAAUGUUUAUGAAAAGUUGAAGGGAACACACCUAGAAGGCCAGAAUUCUACACAGUCUGAAGUGAUGUGACUAAUUUGAGAGCAUAAUUAAUGUCACUGUAUGUACAAAUUAUAUGAGUUGCUGCCUAACUGACCAUUACUUUUACAAAUUUUUAAUCUAGGUACACAACUGCAGUCGGUGCACAGGUUAAUUGAAUGCUAUUGAAAAUCUGACUUGAUGUAAAGGUUAUAUUAAAAAAUAUGCUGAAAAAUUAUUAAUUGAACAGUGUUAUAUGCAAGAUGAUACACAUUUUAUAGUAGGCCUUUGAAGUGAUAUGAUAUUAGUUAAUCAGUCAUUUUUAUUUUGCUUGCUUGAUACAUCUGUUUGUUAGUAUGUAAAGACUGAUUGUUCUUAAAACUUGUAAAAUAAUCAUAAGAGAAGAGUAUUGGGCCUGUGAAUCCAUUUUAUAUAGUAGUCUAUCAAGAAGGUAAGAAAAAAUAAAUAUUUGAGGUGCAUUAAUUUAAAGAUUCA
Molecule: long non-coding RNA, 1235 nt
Filed under: Struthio camelus australis
Lineage: Eukaryota; Metazoa; Chordata; Aves; Struthioniformes; Struthionidae
Description: lncRNA (ENSSCUG00000002101.1)
Source: RNAcentral